UUUCCGUAGGUGAACCUGCGGAAGGAUCAUUAAUAAAUGGUCUACGUUUUUUAAGUAGACGCUUAAUAAUCCUACCCUUUGUGAAUUUGUUUGCUUGAAAUAAUUUUUUUUAAAAUUAUUGAAUGUCUUUCCCUGUUGAAUUGGUUGUCUUUAAUGGCAAGUGAUUCGCAGGGGAGUGUCAAUAAUUUUUAAAAAGACCUUCUUUAAAAUUAAACUUUUUGUAUUCAUUUGUCUAAAAAUUAUUUUUAUAAUAUAAAAACAACUUUUGACAAUGGAUCUCUUGGUUCUCGCAACGAUGAAGAACGCAGCAAAAUGCGAUAAGUAGUGUGAAUUGCAGAAUACGUGAAUCAUCGAAUCUUCGAACGCAUAUUGCACUUUUUUAGUUUACUAAAAAAGUAUGUCUGUUUGAGUAUCAGUAAAAUAUUCUCAUAAAAAACAUUGUUUUUUAUGGUUAUGAGUGUUUUACAACGAUACAAGUUGUUUCACUUUAAAUUUUUUUAAAAUUUGAAUUUUUCUAAUUUUAAAAUAAAAUUGGAUAAAAUUUUCCCGUAAAAAGGAAUAACCUAAACAAUUUUAAUUUUUGAUUAGAAAAUCCAAACUAAAAGGAAAAUUUAACUAAAUAACUUGAUCUCAAAUCAGAUAAGAGUACCCGCUGAACUUAAGCAUAUCAAUAAGCGGAGGAAAAGAAACUAACAAGGAUUCCCUCAGUAACGGCGAGUGAAGCGGGAAGAGCUCAAAUUUGAAAUCUUCAAGGUUUUACCUUGACGAAUUGUAGUUUAAAGGAGUGUUUUCUGUUGAAGUUUCGGUAAAAGUUCUUUGGAAUAGGACAUCAUAGAGGGUGAGAAUCCCGUAUUUGACCGUUAUUUUCAGCUGUGUGAUACACUUUCAAAGAGUCGGAUUGUUUGGGAAUGCAGUCCAAAAUGGGUGGUAAAUUUCAUCUAAAGCUAAAUAUUGGCGAGAGACCGAUAGCGAACAAGUACCGUGAGGGAAAGAUGAAAAGAACUUUGAAAAGAGAGUUAAACAGUACGUGAAAUUGUCAAAAGGGAAGCGUUUGACACCAGUGUUGUUUUCUCGAAAAUCAAUCAAAAAUGGCUUGAUUUUGUGUUGUAUUGACCUUAAAAGCUUUCUUCACUUUUUUCAUGUCUUUUUUAAUGCACUUUUCGUUUAACAAGUCAACAUCAGUUUCUUUUGUUGUAAAAAGGUCAUUGGAAGGUGGCUUUCUUUUCGGAGAAAGUGUUUAUAGCCUUUGACUUCUGCAAUCGGAGAGACUGAGGUCUGCAGCGUAGAUCCUUUUUGGAUUAGAUUCAUUUGUGCUAAGUUAUAGCUUUUUAUAGACAACUUGUUGACUAUAUUUAGUCUUGUAGCUUACUCGCUUAUGUAAUUUUACCUACGCUUAGGAUGUUG
RNAcentral lists this unclassified non-coding RNA (1404 nucleotides) under uncultured Neocallimastigales. RNAcentral's name for it is "partial contains small subunit ribosomal RNA, internal transcribed spacer 1, 5.8S ribosomal RNA, internal transcribed spacer 2, and large subunit ribosomal RNA". The stretch from base 626 to 1404 matches the Rfam family "Eukaryotic large subunit ribosomal RNA", at positions 1 to 628 of the family's 3401-position model. The record is from RNAcentral. Lineage: Eukaryota; Fungi; Neocallimastigomycota; Neocallimastigomycetes; Neocallimastigales.